RNAcentral lists this non-coding RNA (61 nucleotides) under Hyphomicrobiales bacterium. Its description in RNAcentral is "Rhizobiales bacterium Fluoride sequence". It matches the Rfam family "Fluoride riboswitch aptamer (crcB RNA motif)". Lineage: Bacteria; Pseudomonadati; Pseudomonadota; Alphaproteobacteria; Hyphomicrobiales. The record is from RNAcentral.
GAUGUAUGAGGGGAUGGAGUUCCCCGCGACCGCCCUCGAGGCUGAUGACUCCUGCCAGAAA